RNAcentral lists this long non-coding RNA (241 nucleotides) under Lathyrus oleraceus (garden pea). RNAcentral's name for it is "Pisum sativum (pea) long non-coding RNA (PSAT_LNC021354)". Lineage: Eukaryota; Viridiplantae; Streptophyta; Magnoliopsida; Fabales; Fabaceae. The record is from RNAcentral.
UAAAAGUAAGGUACUCGCAAACCGAAAAGAAUAUUACCAGUUACUGGGUAAUAGACUUUCGGGGGACAAAAGCAUCUAUCUAGGUAAGAGCUAGAAAGAAACGGUCAAACAAAGACUCGACCCGAUGAGGAGAUAACUCAGGGGGAGUGGUUCCAUCCAACCAAUCGAUUGGGGAGGAACCUGAAAUAAUAAUUAUCCACGAGGAAAUAACUCAGUGGGGAUUCAGAAAGGUUAAAUUCUU